AGCAGUCGCCACGGUAAAACGGAGGGUGCAAGCGUUAAUCGGAAUUACUGGGCGUAAAGCGCACGCAGGCGGUCUGACAAGUCAGAUGUGAAAUCCCCGGGCUUAACCUGGGAACUGCAUUUGAAACUGUCAGGCUGGAGUCUUGUAGAGGGGGGUAGAAUUCCAGGUGUAGCGGUGAAAUGCGUAGAGAUCUGGAGGAAUACCGGUGGCGAAGGCGGCCCCCUGGACAAAGACUGACGCUCAGGUGCGAAAGCGUGGGGAGCAAACAGGAUUAGAUACCCGUGUAGUCCCUGUCUCUUAUAC
This 303-nucleotide ribosomal RNA is filed under the name uncultured bacterium. RNAcentral's name for it is "partial 16S ribosomal RNA". It matches the Rfam family "Bacterial small subunit ribosomal RNA", at positions 507 to 807 of the family's 1533-position model. The record is from RNAcentral.